RNAcentral lists this ribosomal RNA (275 nucleotides) under uncultured bacterium. RNAcentral describes it as "partial small subunit ribosomal RNA". It matches the Rfam family "Bacterial small subunit ribosomal RNA", at positions 26 to 282 of the family's 1533-position model. The record is from RNAcentral.
AGAAUCAACGCUGGCGGCGUGCCUCAGACAUGCAAGUCGAACGCGAAAGUUUCCUUCGGGAAAUAAGUAGAGUGGCGCACGGGUGAGUAACACGUAGGUAAUCUACCUUUGGAUGGGGAAUAACAACCGGAAACGGUUGCUAAUACCGCAUAAUGCAGCGGCACCUAAUGGUGACAGUUGUUAAAGCGGGGAUCGAAAGACCUCGCGUCUGAAGAGGAGCCGUGGCGGCGGAUUAGCGUAGUUGGUAAGGUAAUGGCUUACCAAGGCUACGAUCC